Molecule: small RNA, 759 nt
Filed under: Braunia imberbis
Lineage: Eukaryota; Viridiplantae; Streptophyta; Bryopsida; Hedwigiales; Hedwigiaceae
Description: eukaryotic LSU rRNA
Rfam family: 5.8S ribosomal RNA (bases 307-459)
Source: RNAcentral
UAACAAGGUUUCCGUAGGUGAACCUGCGGAAGGAUCAUUGCACACACGAGGAGCAAACCCACGGCGAACGCAACAUUGUCCCCCCAUCUUCAUUGGGUUGGGGUGGGCGCAUCGUGUCCCGCGCGUCCCCCACGGGGGGCGCGCGAGCACCUUGUCGUCCCCCCCGACUCGGUUGGCGCGAUGCACAAAUCACUCGAACGUGACUGAGUCCCUGUGAGAUCUAUUCUUACUUUCGGCGGGGGGGGGGCUGUUCCUCCUCCCCGCCCGAGUUGAAUGAUUUUCGUGGUCGUAAGUAACCGAAAACACAACUCUCAGCAACGGAUAUCUUGGCUCCUGCAACGAUGAAGAACGCAGCGAAAUGCGAUACGUAGUGUGAAUUGCAGAAUUCCGCGAAUCAUCGAGUCUUUGAACGCAAGUUGCGCCCGAGGCUUGUCCGAGGGCAUCUCCGCCAGAGCGUCACCGCGCGCCCCCACCGAGUCACACCGUCUCUUCGGACGACGGUGGAACUUGCGUGAAAGUGUGCCCGUCCCGACUCACGAGUCCGGGUCGGGUGAAAUGGAGGGAAUUCGGCCGGCGUGGUGACGCGGUCCGCGAUCAGGUGAUCCGUAAAAGGAAACGUGCGCGGCCGCGUCGCCCGGUUCGGCGAGAGCGAAUUCCGAAGCAGGUCCUCCCUCCCCCGCGCCGCCGGGGGAGGGAAGCAAGUGACGCAUCGGACCUCUGAUCGGAGAAGACCACCCGCUGAGUUUAAGCAUAUCACUA